RNAcentral lists this ribosomal RNA (492 nucleotides) under uncultured bacterium. RNAcentral's name for it is "partial 16S ribosomal RNA". It matches the Rfam family "Bacterial small subunit ribosomal RNA", at positions 29 to 507 of the family's 1533-position model. The record is from RNAcentral.
AGUGAACGCUGGCGGUAGGCCUAACACAUGCAAGUCGAACGGCAGCACAGUAAGAGCUUGCUCUUACGGGUGGCGAGUGGCGGACGGGUGAGGAAUACAUCGGAAUCUACUUUUUCGUGGGGGAUAACGUAGGGAAACUUACGCUAAUACCGCAUACGACCUACGGGUGAAAGCAGGGGAUCUUCGGACCUUGCGCGAUUGAAUGAGCCGAUGGCGGAUUAGCUAGUUGGCGGGGUAAAGGCCCACCAAGGCGACGAUCCGUAGCUGGUCUGAGAGGAUGAUUAGCCACACUGGAACUGAGACACGGUCCAGACUCCGACGGGAGGCAGCAGUGGGGAAUAUUGGACAAUGGGCGCAAGCCUGAUCCAGCCAUACCGCGUGGGUGAAGAAGGCCUUCGGGUUGUAAAGCCCUUUUGUUGGGAAAGAAAAGCAGCAGGUUAAUACCCCGCUGUUCUGACGGUACCCAAAGAAUAAGCACCGGCUAACUUCGUG